This 588-nucleotide ribosomal RNA is filed under the name Lodderomyces orthopsilosis. Its description in RNAcentral is "eukaryotic LSU rRNA". It matches the Rfam family "Eukaryotic large subunit ribosomal RNA", at positions 50 to 654 of the family's 3401-position model. The record is from RNAcentral. Lineage: Eukaryota; Fungi; Ascomycota; Pichiomycetes; Serinales; Debaryomycetaceae.
GCGGAGGAAAAGAAACCAACAGGGAUUGCCUUAGUAGCGGCGAGUGAAGCGGCAAAAGCUCAAAUUUGAAAUCUGGCACUUUCAGUGUCCGAGUUGUAAUUUGAAGAAGGUAUCUUUGGGUCUGGCUCUUGUCUAUGUUUCUUGGAACAGAACGUCACAGAGGGUGAGAAUCCCGUGCGAUGAGAUGUCCCAGACCUAUGUAAAGUUCCUUCGAAGAGUCGAGUUGUUUGGGAAUGCAGCUCUAAGUGGGUGGUAAAUUCCAUCUAAAGCUAAAUAUUGGCGAGAGACCGAUAGCGAACAAGUACAGUGAUGGAAAGAUGAAAAGAACUUUGAAAAGAGAGUGAAAAAGUACGUGAAAUUGUUGAAAGGGAAGGGCUUGAGAUCAGACUUGGUAUUUUGUAUGUUACUCUCUCGGGGGUGGCCUCUACAGUUUACCGGGCCAGCAUCAGUUUGGGCGGUAGGACAAUUGCAAAGAAAUGUGGCACUGCCUCGGUAGUGUGUUAUAGUCUUUGUCGAUACUGCCAGCCUAGACUGAGGACUGCGGCUUCGGCCUAGGAUGUUGGCAUAAUGAUCUUAAGUCGCCCGUCU